GUACUACUCCCUCCGUUCCGAAUUACUUGUCUCAGAUAUAAAUGUAUUUAGAUGUAUUUUAGUUCUAGAUACAUCCAUUUCUGUGACGAGUAAUUUAGAACGGAGGAAGUAGUAG
Molecule: non-coding RNA, 115 nt
Organism: Triticum urartu
Lineage: Eukaryota; Viridiplantae; Streptophyta; Magnoliopsida; Poales; Poaceae
Source: Rfam